This is a long non-coding RNA of Hordeum vulgare subsp. vulgare (domesticated barley), 1148 nucleotides long. RefSeq lists it as uncharacterized. The record is from RefSeq and is a predicted model, not a curated record. The transcript is spliced from 3 exons. NCBI's taxonomy places the organism in Eukaryota, Viridiplantae, Streptophyta, Magnoliopsida, Poales, Poaceae.
AAUCAAUUGGAGUUGGCCCCGCCUCGCCGCGCAGCAAUACGCGGUGCCGGCGCCGGCGCCGGCGCCAGCACCGCCCACCUAUCGCUCCUAGCGGUACGCCAUUGCAAGGCUCCCAACAACUCCCCCAAAACUGUGUGCCGCGCGCCAUCCCAGCCCCGCUUGCCCAGCCCCGCCGCCGCAGCGCAUCGCCCGCGCCCCGCUCCUUCGACGGGAUGACGCCCGAAGGCCUCUCCAGCGCCACCACGAGAGACCUAUCCACCUCGCCCCCACUGCCGCAAGAUCUGAAAUCUUGUUAUUUUGUCUUCCAAAAAUGCACUUAGCCGUUGUAUUGUCACGACUUGAUCAUAUAUUCUCAAGCCAUACACUUACUCGCCACAACUACAUUAAGAAGUGGACCUAUGAUGUGUGGCAGGUCAGGUCUGCUGGAGAAGAACCAAGUGGAGAGGAACUGUAUGCUGAAGCUGAACUGGUUGGCAAUGGUGGUUACACUUUACACCCACGCACCACAAGGCGACCAUUCUCGUUCAUCCCAGAGCAAUGUGCCACAGUGUCCGAUGUUUUGCAAAUCAUUGCUUGGAGCUUUUCGUUUUUGUUAUGAUCUGACGAUGCGCGUUAGUUUGCGCGGUUUCUUGUUCAUAGCUUGCAGACUUCCAGCUCCUGACUGGGUCCUCAGGUGUUGGUAUGUUUGCCAGCUUUACUUUCUUUUUUCGAAACAUGAUCAGAUUUAAUUCUAAACACUCUGUAUGUAAUGAACUCUUUUGCUGCAGGACGAUUUGGUAGUUUCCAGUGCCUGACUUGGUGUUAAAAUCUUGUGCAUGUGCGGACACUGAGCGGGUCGUUUCUAUGUGAUGGCAUAAUACUCAUUGCGCGUUUGCUACUCUUUAGGUGUCUGAAAGAAUUUCAGGCGACAGUUGAAUCUGCGGAGCCUCCUGAGGGUGAGACAGGGAUGACGUGGCUCGCCGGCGGAGGAUAGGAAAGAGGUUGAUCGGUUCGGGUAGGGAGGUGCUCGGCGCCGGAGAGGGGGGAAGGAGGAAAAGGAUGACCGUUUCCGUUGGAUGUAGACCGGACGGUCGAGGGAAAUUGCGAUUGAACUGGUUUUGAUAUGACUUUCAUGGUUAAAAGCACACAAGGUACUAGUAUUUCCUUUC